CCUACGGGUGGCAGCAGUGAGGAAUAUUGGUCAAUGGCCGGAAGGCUGAACCAGCCAUGCCGCGUGAAGGUCAGUGCCCUAUGGGCGUUAAACUUCGUUUGUGCGGGAGCAAUAAUGGUAACGUGUGGCCAGACGAGAGUACCGUACGAAUAAGCAUCGGCUAACUCUGUGCCAGCAGCCGCGGCAAGACGGGGGAUGCAAGCGUUAUCCGGAUUUAUGGGGUUUAAAGGGGGCGUAGGCUGUGAGGUAAGUCAGCGGUGAAAUGCCACCGCUCAACGGGGUGAAGUGCCAUUGAUACUGCCUUGCUGGAAUGCGGAUGCCGUGGGAGGAAUGUGUGGUGUAGCGGUGAAAUGCAUAGAUAUCACACAGAACACCGAUUGCGAAGGCAUCUAACGAAUCCGCGAUUGACGCUGAUGCACGAAAGCGUGGGUAUCAAACAGGAUUAGAUACCCGGGUAGUC
Molecule: ribosomal RNA, 460 nt
Filed under: uncultured bacterium
Lineage: Bacteria
Description: partial 16S ribosomal RNA
Rfam family: Bacterial small subunit ribosomal RNA
Source: RNAcentral